This 76-nucleotide transfer RNA is filed under the name Pseudomonadota bacterium. RNAcentral's name for it is "tRNA-Lys". It matches the Rfam family "tRNA". From Rfam's summary of the family: Transfer RNA (tRNA) molecules are approximately 80 nucleotides in length. Their secondary structure includes four short double-helical elements and three loops (D, anti-codon, and T loops). The record is from RNAcentral. Lineage: Bacteria; Pseudomonadati; Pseudomonadota. RNAcentral also lists the same sequence under 3 other names.
GGAAGACUAGCUCAAUUGGUAGAGCAGCUGACUCUUAAUCAGCGGGUUGUGGGUUCGAGUCCCACGUCUUCCACCA